Small nuclear RNA from Manis javanica (Malayan pangolin), 107 nucleotides. Lineage: Eukaryota; Metazoa; Chordata; Mammalia; Pholidota; Manidae. The record is from RefSeq and is a predicted model, not a curated record.
GUGCUCGCUUUGGCAGCACAUACACUAAAAUUGGAACAAUACAGAGAUGACUAGCAUGGUCCCUGUGCAAGAAUGACACACAAACAUGUGAAGCGUUUCAUAAUUAA